AGCAGCCGCGGUAAUUCCAGCUCCAAUAGCGUAUAUUAAAGUUGUUGCAGUUAAAAAGCUCGUAGUUGAAUUUCGGGGUUAGUAGGUUGGUCAUGCCUCUGGUAUGUACUGGUCUCACUGAUUCCUCCUUCCUGAUGAGCCGUAAUGCCAUUAAUUUGGUGUUGCGGGGAAUUUGGACUGUUACUUUGAAAAAAUUAGAGUGUUUAAAGCAAGCUAACGCUUGAAUACAUUAGCAUGGAAUAAUGAAAUAGGACGUUCGAUCCUAUUUUGUUGGUUUCUAGGAUUGACGUAAUGAUUAAUAGGGAUAGUUGGGGGCAUUAGUAUUCAAUUGUCAGAGGUGAAAUUCUUGGAUUUAUUGAAGACUAACUACUGCGAAAGCAUUUGCCAAGGAUGUUUUCAUUAAUCAAGAACGAAAGUUAGGGGAUCGAAGACGAUCAGAUACCGUCGUAGUCUUAACCAUAAACUAUGCCGACUAGGGAUCGGAUGAUGUUAAUUUUUUAAUGACUC
Molecule: ribosomal RNA, 507 nt
Filed under: uncultured Glomus
Lineage: Eukaryota; Fungi; Glomeromycota; Glomeromycetes; Glomerales; Glomeraceae
Also listed under: 1 other name
Description: SSU rRNA
Rfam family: Eukaryotic small subunit ribosomal RNA
Source: RNAcentral